GAUGAAGAACGUAGCGAAAUGCGAUAAGUAGUGUGAAUUGCAGAAUUCAGUGAAUCAUCGAAUCUUUGAACGCACAUUGCGCCCCUUGGUAUUCCAUGGGGCAUGCCUGUUCGAGCGUCAUUUGUACCUUCAAGCUUUGCUUGGUGUUGGGUGUUUGUCUCGCCUUUUCGUGUAGACUCGCCUUAAAAUAAUUGGCAGCCGGCGUAUUGAUUUCGGAGCGCAGUACAUCUCGCGCUUUGCACUCAUAACGACAGCGUCCAAAAGUACAUUUUACACUCUUGACCUCGGAUCAGGUAGGGAUACCCGCUGAACUUAAGCAUAUCAAUAAGCGGAGGA
This 336-nucleotide unclassified non-coding RNA is filed under the name soil metagenome. RNAcentral describes it as "partial contains 5.8S ribosomal RNA, internal transcribed spacer 2, and large subunit ribosomal RNA". The stretch from base 1 to 120 matches the Rfam family "5.8S ribosomal RNA", at positions 35 to 154 of the family's 154-position model. The record is from RNAcentral.